Molecule: ribosomal RNA, 429 nt
Filed under: Gemmatimonadota bacterium
Lineage: Bacteria; Pseudomonadati; Gemmatimonadota
Description: Gemmatimonadetes bacterium partial 16S ribosomal RNA
Rfam family: Bacterial small subunit ribosomal RNA
Source: RNAcentral
UAGGGAAUCUUCGGCAAUGGACGAAAGUCUGACCGAGCAACGCCGCGCGAGUGAAGAAGGUUUUCGGAUCGUAAAACUCUGUUGUUAGAGAAGAACAAGUACGUUAGUAACUGAACGUCCCCUGACGGUAUCUAACCAGAAAGCCACGGCUAACUACGUGCCAGCAGCCGCGGUAAUACGUAGGUGGCAAGCGUUGUCCGGAUUUAUUGGGCAUAAAGCGAGCGCAGGCGGUUUCUUAAGUCUGAUGUGAAAGCCCCCGGCUCAACCGGGGAGGGUCAUUGGAAACUGGGAGACUUGAGUGCAGAAGAGGAGAGUGGAAUUCCAUGUGUAGCGGUGAAAUGCGUAGAUAUAUGGAGGAACACCAGUGGCGAAGGCGGCUCUCUGGUCUGUAACUGACGCUGAGGCUCGAAAGCGUGGGGAGCAAACAGG